AUUUGGUCUAGUGGUAUGAUUCUCGCUUAGGGUGCGAGAGGUCGUGAGUUCAAUUCUCAGAAU
This is a non-coding RNA of Capsicum annuum, 63 nucleotides long. Lineage: Eukaryota; Viridiplantae; Streptophyta; Magnoliopsida; Solanales; Solanaceae. The record is from Rfam.